RNAcentral lists this unclassified non-coding RNA (223 nucleotides) under Hevea brasiliensis (rubber tree). Lineage: Eukaryota; Viridiplantae; Streptophyta; Magnoliopsida; Malpighiales; Euphorbiaceae. The record is from RNAcentral.
AAGAUAGAAGAUCAUCAACUGAUCGUUCAUCCACAUGCUGCUCUUCUUCUACCUCGACAUUCUUUAAUUUCUCUCGUUCUUUUAAUUCUUUCCUUUUCCUUGCAUAGAGUCGAUUGAGAAGACGGAUACGUGGAUCAUCGGUCAUAUUUCUCAGAGGUUCCAACUUCUCUUCCUCUGUUAAAUCAUCUGGCAAAUGGAAAGUUUCACGUAUCUCCUCGGGAGU